Molecule: non-coding RNA, 93 nt
Organism: Cronartium quercuum f. sp. fusiforme G11
Lineage: Eukaryota; Fungi; Basidiomycota; Pucciniomycetes; Pucciniales; Coleosporiaceae
Source: the annotation of a GenBank genome assembly
GACAGGAUGGCCGAGUGGUUAAGGCGGUAGUUUCGAAUCUGAACUAGUAGCUACUCCUCUAUGAGGGCGUGAGUUCAAAUCUCACUUCUGUCG